RNAcentral lists this ribosomal RNA (204 nucleotides) under uncultured eukaryote. RNAcentral's name for it is "partial 18S ribosomal RNA". It matches the Rfam family "Eukaryotic small subunit ribosomal RNA", at positions 1299 to 1458 of the family's 1831-position model. The record is from RNAcentral.
UCGUGGAGUGAUUCGUCUGCUUAAUUGCGAUAACGAACGAGACCUCGUCUUACUAAAUAGAAAAGUUUAGGCCUAUAUGUCAGGGCUUAGGAGAAGUGGUGAGGGUAAAACCUCGCUAACCUUCUGGGUUUGGCUGGUUUCUAGACAAUAUUUCUUCUUAGAAGUACAACCACUAUAAGGUGGUGGAAGUGCGAGGCAAUAACA